Molecule: ribosomal RNA, 1120 nt
Filed under: human gut metagenome
Description: bacterial LSU rRNA
Rfam family: Bacterial large subunit ribosomal RNA
Source: RNAcentral
AUCAACGCUAAUCGGAUCAGGGUCAGUCGGGUCCUAAGGCUCAGCCGAACGGCGAGGCCGAUGGCAGAACCGGUUAAUAUUCCGGUACUACCCUUUGGGGUGACGUGGAGACGCAGUCGUGACAAUGCCGCCAGCUGACGGAAUAGCUGGUUAAAGGGUGUAGAAGUUGAUUGUGGCAGGCAAAUCCACCACAAGAUUCGAACCUGACAGUAUGGAGCGUCCUUCCGGACAAUCCAACAGUGCAUGUAAUCAUACUGCCAAGAAAAUCCGCUAAACAUAACCUUCAGGGUACCCGUACCGCAAACGGACACACGUAGUCGGGUUGAAUAUACUAAGGCGCUUGAGUGAUUCACGGUUAAGGAACUAGGCAAAUUAACCCUGUAACUUCGGGAAAAAGGGUCCCUACCCGUUAUCGGGAGGGCGCAGAGAAUCGGUCCAGGCAACUGUUUAACAAAAACACAGGGCUGUGCGAAGUCGAAAGACGCUGUAUACAGCCUGACACCUGCCCGGUGCUGGAAGGUUAAGAGGAGAUGUCAUCGCAAGAGAAGCAUUGAAUUGAAGCCCCAGUAAACGGCGGCCGUAACUAUAACGGUCCUAAGGUAGCGAAAUUCCUUGUCGGGUAAGUUCCGACCUGCACGAAUGGUGUAAUGAUCUGGACGCUGUCUCAACCGUGAGCUCAGUGAAAUUGUAGUAUCGGUGAAGAUGCCGAUUACCCGCGAUGGGACGAAAAGACCCCGUGAACCUUUACUAUAGCUUAUCAUUGAAUUUGGGCACGUGAUGUGUAGGAUAGGUCGGAGGCUUUGAAGCAGGCACGCCAGUGUUUGUGGAGCCGCUGUUGAAAUACGACCCUUCAUUUGUUUGAGUUCUAACUCGUAAUACGAGGACACUGAUUGGUGGGUAGUUUGACUGGGGUGGUCGCCUCCAAAAGUGUAACGGAGGCUUCUAAAGGUGCCCUCAGACCGAUUGGUAACCGGUCUCAGAGUGUAAUGGCAUAAGGGCGCUUGACUGGGAGACUAACAAGUCGAGCAGGUAGGAAACUAGAGCAUAGUGAUCCGGUGUUUCCGCAUGGAAGGGACAUCGCUCAAAGGAUAAAAGGUACUCCGGGGAUAACAGGCUGAUC